CAUAGGUUAAUGAGGCGAACCGGGGGAACUGAAACAUCUAAGUACCCCGAGGAAAAGAAAUCAACCGAGAUUCCCCCAGUAGCGGCGAGCGAACGGGGAGGAGCCCAGAGCCUGAAUCAGUGUGUGUGUUAGUGGAAGCGUCUGGAAAGGCGCGCGAUACAGGGUGACAGCCCCGUACACAAAAAUGCACAUAUUGUGAGCUCGAUGAGUAGGGCGGGACACGUGGUAUCCUGUCUGAAUAUGGGGGGACCAUCCUCCAAGGCUAAAUACUCCUGACUGACCGAUAGUGAACCAGUACCGUGAGGGAAAGGCGAAAAGAACCCCGGCGAGGGGAGUGAAAAAGAACCUGAAACCGUGUACGUACAAGCAGUGGGAGCCUCUUUAUGGGGUGACUGCGUACCUUUUGUAUAAUGGGUCAGCGACUUAUAUUCUGUAGCAAGGUUAACCGAAUAGGGGAGCCGAAGGGAAACCGAGUCUUAACUGGGCGUUAAGUUGCAGGGUAUAGACCCGAAACCCGGUGAUCUAGCCAUGGGCAGGUUGAAGGUUGGGUAACACUAACUGGAGGACCGAACCGACUAAUGUUGAAAAAUUAGCGGAUGACUUGUGGCUGGGGGUGAAAGGCCAAUCAAACCGGGAGAUAGCUGGUUCUCCCCGAAAGCUAUUUAGGUAGCGCCUCGUGAAUUCAUCUCCGGGGGUAGAGCACUGUUUCGGCAAGGGGGUCAUCCCGACUUACCAACCCGAUGCAAACUGCGAAUACCGGAGAAUGUUAUCACGGGAGACACACGGCGGGUGCUAACGUCCGUCGUGAAGAGGGAAACAACCCAGACCGCCAGCUAAGGUCCCAAAGUCAUGGUUAAGUGGGAAACGAUGUGGGAAGGCCCAGACAGCCAGGAUGUUGGCUUAGAAGCAGCCAUCAUUUAAAGAAAGCGUAAUAGCUCACUGGUCGAGUCGGCCUGCGCGGAAGAUGUAACGGGGCUAAACCAUGCACCGAAGCUGCGGCAGCGACACUAUGUGUUGUUGGGUAGGGGAGCGUUCUGUAAGCCUGUGAAGGUGGCCUGUGAGGGUUGCUGGAGGUAUCAGAAGUGCGAAUGCUGACAUAAGUAACGAUAAAGCGGGUGA
This 1119-nucleotide ribosomal RNA is filed under the name Escherichia coli. RNAcentral's name for it is "partial 23S ribosomal RNA". It matches the Rfam family "Bacterial large subunit ribosomal RNA", at positions 165 to 1324 of the family's 2925-position model. Lineage: Bacteria; Pseudomonadati; Pseudomonadota; Gammaproteobacteria; Enterobacterales; Enterobacteriaceae. The record is from RNAcentral.